AAAGAAAGGAGUGGCGAACGGGUGAGUAACACGUGGGUAACCUGCCCAUCAGAAGGGGAUAACACUUGGAAACAGGUGCUAAUACCGUAUAACAAUCGAAACCGCAUGGUUUCGGUUUGAAAGGCGCUUUUGCGUCACUGAUGGAUGGACCCGCGGUGCAUUAGCUAGUUGGUGAGGUAACGGCUCACCAAGGCAACGAUGCAUAGCCGACCUGAGAGGGUGAUCGGCCACAUUGGGACUGAGACACGGCCCAAACUCCUACGGGAGGCAGCAGUAGGGAAUCUUCGGCAAUGGACGAAAGUCUGACCGAGCAACGCCGCGUGAGUGAAGAAGGUUUUCGGAUCGUAAAACUCUGUUGUUAGAGAAGAACAAGGAUGAGAGUAGAAUGUUCAUCCCUUGACGGUAUCUAACCAGAAAGCCACGGCUAACUACGUGCCAGCAGCCGCGGUAAUACGUAGGUGGCAAGCGUUGUCCGGAUUUAUUGGGCGUAAAGCGAGCGCAGGCGGUUUCUUAAGUCUGAUGUGAAAGCCCCCGGCUCAACCGGGGAGGGUCAUUGGAAACUGGGAAACUUGAGUGCAGAAGAGGAGAGUGGAAUUCCAUGUGUAGCGGUGAAAUGCGUAGAUAUAUGGAGGAACACCAGUGGCGAAGCGGCUCUCUGGUCUGUAACUGACGCUGAGGCUCGAAAGCGUGGGGAGCAAACAGGAUUAGAUACCCUGGUAGUCCACGCCGUAAACGAUGAGUGCUAAGUGUUGGAGGUUUCCGCCCUUCAGUGCUGCAGCUAACGCAUUAAGCACUCCGCC
Molecule: ribosomal RNA, 800 nt
Filed under: Enterococcus avium
Lineage: Bacteria; Bacillati; Bacillota; Bacilli; Lactobacillales; Enterococcaceae
Description: bacterial SSU rRNA
Rfam family: Bacterial small subunit ribosomal RNA
Source: RNAcentral